Molecule: long non-coding RNA, 663 nt
Filed under: Coffea arabica (coffee)
Lineage: Eukaryota; Viridiplantae; Streptophyta; Magnoliopsida; Gentianales; Rubiaceae
Description: long non-coding RNA (CARA_LNC004234)
Source: RNAcentral
UGAAGUGUUGAGUAACCGGUGAUCUUCAUCUAAAAAUGUUGAUCCUCGCGUAAAAAGAUACUUUCACAACUUAAGUAAUAUUUAGCUAUAUUAUAUAAAUAAAUCCCUCUUUAAGUUAAAUAAGAGGAUGAUCAUGGAUUUAGGAAGCAUAUUAUUGACCAUAUGAGUUACUUACUUGUAAGAUUGGGUAAGGAUGAAAAAUUGAUUUGAAUUUGUUAUAAUGACGGUAUAAUUGGCUCUCCUUUACUUGAUAUUAUGAGUACUUGAACUUAAUUGAAUAAUUGCAUAAUGGUUAUUUACCUUGCUUGGAGAAAAUGAAGUUGAAUGCUACAUAUGUUUAUUUUCAAAUUUUGGAUCAUUGUUGGUUUGUAUUUCUUAUUGCUUGAGGACAAGCAAUGGUUCAAGUGUGGGGGUAUUUGAUAAGAGUAUAUUUUACGUAUUUUUAGUGUACUUUAUUAAUUAGUUUUGGUGUGUUUUAUUUAAUUUUAUAAAUAAUUAACUAAGAUUCUAGUAAAAAUAUGCAUUGUGUGGUUAAAGUGUGAAAAUUGCAUUUCUAUUGAUUUUUAUGGUAAAAACUUCAUAUUUUGUAGGUUUAAUGAUUCAAUCAUCAAAUGAAGUGCAUUGAGAAGAUAUUUGGAUGAUUGAAGAUGGAUUAAAGUGGGG